AUUCACAGCUAGUUUCGCUACCAAAACAACAUGAGUUUUGUUUAAAAAAAAAUAAAAUCAAAUUUGUUAAAUAAUAUUUAUGACGAGGCUACAGUACAUUAGACGACAAAAAAAAACUUCAAGACUAACAUCAGAUACGAGUCAUUCAAUCAGUUGUCAGAAUAUGGACUUCCAACAUCAUUCAGAUCAUCUCGAUAUAAAAAAAUGGAAAAUAGAAACAGUAAUGCGAUUCAUGUGGUAGUUGAAGAAUUAUUCAACAAACAAAUUGAAAUUUACAAUAAUAAUUAUGAAUUGCCUUGUGUAAAUACGUUAUUUACUGAAGAUGCUUGGCAAAUUGACGAAUUACAGAAAAUAAAAGAAGGACUAAACAGCGUAAAAAAUCAAUUGAAUGAUAUUAACAUCAUAAAUUGGAGACUUCAUACAAAGAAGAGAAAUUUUGCUGAAGAUAUUAAGUGGCGAUUACGUAAAGAAAUUAACCCUGAAUUUAUAACUCAAGCUUGGUGUAAAUUUUAUGAGCUGGUUUCUUCCUUUCCAUUGAUACCAGAAGAGAUAGGAAGUAAUAAAAAAAUAAAAACUAUUCAUUUGUGUGAAGCUCCAGGAGCUUUUAUAGCUUCAUUGAAUCAUUGGUUAAAACUUAAUAAACCAUCAAUUGACUGGGAUUGGACUGCGACAACUUUAAAUCCUUAUUAUGAAGGAAACUCCUUAUUUUGUAUGUUAAAUGAUGAUCGUUUCAUUAUGCAUACAUUGAAUCAUUGGUACUUUGGUAUUGAUAAUACAGGAAAUCUUAUGAAUGAAAUGAAUCUGCAUGGUUUUAUUGAUCAUGAGAAAAAAAAUCUGAAUGAAAUUAUGCUUAUCACAGCAGAUGGUAGCAUAGAUUGCAUUGAUGUUCCUGAUAAACAAGAAAUGUGUGUAUUUCAAUUACAUUUUUGUGAAACAAUUACAGCACUGAAUUUGCUCAGUACAGAUGGUAAUUUCCUUAUCAAAAUAUUUACAGUUUUUGAAUAUAAAACUAUUUGUUUAAUUUAUUUAUUAUCAUGUUGUUUUAAUCGUAUUAUUUUUAAAAAACCUGCAACAAGUAAAGCUGGAAACUCUGAAGUUUAUGUUAUUUGUUUAAAGUUUAAAGGGUUCAAAUAUGUUGAACAACACUUAAAAGUGUUUCAAAGAUAUUUCGAAAACGACACAGACUUAGCUAUGUUUAGGAAAUGUGAUAUUCCACAAUCAUUUAUUAACCAAAUCAUAAAAGUUGGAGAAUAUUUUAAAUUUCAUCAAAGUAAAGUUAUAUUGGAAAAUAUACGGACUUUUAACUGCGCUAAUGAUGAAUUCUAUCAUGUUAAAAAAAUACGACGAGCUGUUGCUGAUUACUAUUUUGCAGCUUACAAACUUGAAAAAUUGCCAAUUGAUAGUAUGAAAGUCGUCAACAGUGAUAAAUUAAAUGAACCUUAUUAUCAAAGCUUAUGCAAUAAAUCCAGCCGUAAUUCUUAUAACGAAAGACGGAAAAGAGAUGAAAUGCAACCAGUGGAACGAUUGAUAAAUAUCAUUGCUGAGUUUAAUUCAUCUCCAAUGACAGAUUAUGUUUAUUAUUUACAAUAUCCGAACGCCUUUGAAGAUCUUCAGUUUAUUGUCGGUGCUCCAUACAAAGAAAUACAAAGCUCUAAAUUCAGUGAAUUACAUUUGCUUAAAACUUAUAGUGCAAUAACGAAACUUAAGAAUGAAAUUGGUUUAAAGUUGCAAUAUCCAGCUGAAGAAGCAAUCACUAAUUUUAAAUUAGAAAAUAAAGAUGCCAAAAUUUUAUCUUUCUAUUAUGAAUACGUAAUCGAUAACACAAAUCUGACAACACAAAUAUACGAAAUGAUUAGGACAUUCAAUGGCAAAGAGACUUUGAUUCUUAUUGGAUUGUCACUAUUUUCUCAGCUUAAUGUUGGACUUGUCUAUACCUUAGCUCAUGCUUUUGAAUAUGUCAAAGUAGAAAUGACUGAAGAGUUAGGACGUACUAUAACAUUUUCUGGUUAUAUUGUCGAAAAAAAUAUCAUCAAAUAUUUGAAAAAUAUUGCAGAAGUAUCAGUUGAUGCAGAGCAUCAAAAUAAUAUGGUAUUAUCAAUUGUGCCAAUUACCAAAUUAUACGAAGACACAAUGUAUCGCAUUAUUGUGGAGACGAAUCACUUAACUAUAAAACAUUUUGCCCAAUAUAUUGGCAAAAUGAUUAAUAACUCAUAAAAAAAUUAAUAUUAAACAAUAAAAUUAUAUUUAUGAUUGGUAGUUUUAGUCGUGAUAGGAUUUUAGAAUAAAAUUUUAUUAUGAAGAUUCCAAAAAUAUUAAAAAGUAUACGAUAUUUUUCUGAUCGAGUGAUUAUCCCACGUGUGUGUAUUGUUGGUGCUGGACCAGCAGGCUUUUAUGCUGCUCAACAAUUAAUCAAG
This 2414-nucleotide unclassified non-coding RNA is filed under the name Chelonus insularis. Its description in RNAcentral is "nADPH:adrenodoxin oxidoreductase, mitochondrial, transcript variant X4". The record is from RNAcentral. Lineage: Eukaryota; Metazoa; Arthropoda; Insecta; Hymenoptera; Braconidae.